UUAAUUGAAGAGUUUGAUCAUGGCUCAGAUUGAACGCUGGCGGCAGGCCUAACACAUGCAAGUCGAGCGGCAGCACAGAGGAACUUGUUCCUUGGGUGGCGAGCGGCGGACGGGUGAGUAAUGCCUGGGAAAUUGCCCGGUAGAGGGGGGAUAACCAUUGGAAACGAUGGCUAAUACCGCAUAACCUCGCAAGAGCAAAGCAGGGGACCUUCGGGCCUUGCGCUACCGGAUAUGCCCAGGUGGGAUUAGCUAGUUGGUGAGGUAAGGGCUCACCAAGGCGACGAUCCCUAGCUGGUCUGAGAGGAU
This 306-nucleotide ribosomal RNA is filed under the name Vibrio cholerae. RNAcentral's name for it is "partial 16S ribosomal RNA". It matches the Rfam family "Bacterial small subunit ribosomal RNA", at positions 1 to 301 of the family's 1533-position model. The record is from RNAcentral. Lineage: Bacteria; Pseudomonadati; Pseudomonadota; Gammaproteobacteria; Vibrionales; Vibrionaceae.